This is a non-coding RNA of Methylomicrobium album BG8, 28 nucleotides long. NCBI's taxonomy places the organism in Bacteria, Pseudomonadati, Pseudomonadota, Gammaproteobacteria, Methylococcales, Methylococcaceae. The record is from Rfam.
GUUCACUGCCGUACAGGUAGCUUAGAAA